UAUCUGAGUUUCGAUCCUGCCAGUAGUCAUAUGCUUGCUCUCAAAGAUUAAGGCCAUGCAUGUCUAAGUACAAACCUUAAUACGGCUGAAACCGCGAUAUGGCUCAUUAAAUCAGCUAUGCGCUUCCUAUAGAUUCGUCUCAUCCUACUUUCGGAUAAACUGUGGGAAAAAUCUAUGAGCUAAUACUGACCUUACAAGCCCUGACCUCACGGGCAGGGGGCGCAAUUUAUUAGAUCAAAAACCAAUCGGUUCUUGCCCCGUCUGCUUGCCCGUGACUACUGAGAUAACUUUUGUUGCUGAUCGCAUGGCCGUCUGCGCUGUGCGACGUACUUCAAGCUAGUCUGCCCUAUCAACUAUACGAUGGUAGGGAAUCAUGCCGUACCAUGGUUAUUAAACGGGUCAACGGGCAAUCAGGGUUCCGAUUCCCGGAGAGGGAGCCUUGAGAAACGGCUACCACACUAAGCGAAGGCAGCAGAUGCGCUCCGCAAAUUACCCACUCCCGGCACGGGAGUAUGACGAACAAAUAACCGAUACGCGGACUCUUUUGAUGGCCCGUUAAUUGGAAUGAGUACACUUUAAAUCCGCUUAACAAGUAUCUAUGGAGGGCAAGUCUGGGUGCCAGCAGCCGCGCGUAAUUCCGCUCCAAUAGCGUAUAUGUAAUGUUGCCUGGCAUGUUAAAAAGCUCGUAGGUUGCGAGCUGAGGAACUCGAAUUGGUGCGUGCACCAUACGGUUGUUACUGCCGAAUUUCGCCUACACUAUCGGUGCUCGGCUCUUGGUGUUCUUAAAUUGAAUGCCCUGAGUGCCCCCCACGCCCAGGCAAGUUUACUUUAAAAAAUUAGAGAUGCUCAAAGCAGGCCAUUAGCCUCGCCGAAUACUUAAGCAUGCCGAAUACAUGGAAUAGGACUUCGGUUCUAUUUGUUGGUUUUCGGAACGAGAACAGGUGGGCUAAUGAUUAAGCAGAGACAGGACGGGGGCAUUCGUAACUGCGGUGUUAGAGGUGAAAUUCUAUGAGAUCGCGCCAAGGACGAACAACUGCGAAUAGCAUUUGCCAAGAAUGUUUUCAUUAAUCUAAGCAACGAAAGUCAUGAGCCGUUCGAAAGACGAUCAGAUACCGUCCUAUCUGACCAUAAACGAUGGCCAACUGGGGCGCAUCCGAGAUUUCCGUUUGCUUAUUGACCUUCGGCGCAGCCUCCGGGGAAACCAAAGUUUUUAGGUUCGCGGGAAGUAUUGGUUGCCAAAGCUGGACUUAACAGGAAUUUGACGAAGGCACCACCAGGAGUGGAGCCUGCGCGCUUAAUUUGACUCAACACUGGAAAACUUCACCCCGGCCCGGACACUGUUAUGAUUGACAGAUGAUGAGCUCUUCUUGAUUCGGUGCGGUGGUGUGCUGUAUGCAUGGCCGUCUUACGUUGGGUGGAGCGAUUUCUUGUUAAUUCGAUAACGAACGAGACUCUAGCCUGCUAAAUAGUACGCCGAUACCUUUUCGUUCGGUUGCUGGACUAUCUUAUAGGGACAAGCGUGUCUUGAAGACGCACGAGAUUGAGCAAUAACAGGUCUUGUGAUGCCCUUAGAUGUUCGGGGCCGGCACGCGCGGCUACACUGAAGGGCGGACAGCGAGUUUUUUUCCUGGUUCGAAAGAACGGGUAAUCUGUUGAAUUCCCCCUCCCUUCGUGACAGGGAUCGGGGCUUGCAAUUUAUUCCCGUGAACGAGGAAUUCCCAGUAAGCGCCAAGUCAUCAGCUUGCCGUUGAUUACGUCCCUGCCCUUUGUACACACCGCCCGUCGCUACUACCGAUUGAAUGGUUUUAGCAAGGUCCUCGGAUUGGCUGCCGACUUGGUGGCAACACUAGUCGGAUACUGAAAAAGAAGAUCAAACUUGAUCAUUUAGAGGAAGUAAAAGUCGUACAAGGUUUCGCGUAGGUGAACCUGCGGAAGGAUCAUUA
This is a non-coding RNA of Macrostomum lignano, 1943 nucleotides long. NCBI's taxonomy places the organism in Eukaryota, Metazoa, Platyhelminthes, Macrostomidae. The record is from Rfam.